Long non-coding RNA from Fukomys damarensis (Damara mole-rat), 342 nucleotides. RefSeq lists it as uncharacterized. The record is from RefSeq and is a predicted model, not a curated record. The transcript has 3 exons. Lineage: Eukaryota; Metazoa; Chordata; Mammalia; Rodentia; Bathyergidae.
CUGCACACCAUUGUGUGAAACAGGGUAAGGUCUGCAACUUUACUGAGCCUUGAUUUCGUCAUCUGUCCUUUGAGGAUUGCCUUGCUGUGGGAAGCAGUUUCCUCAUGGAAAGUCCCAUCUGCUGUGUUCUUAUUCUCGACUUGUGGAUCUGCCCAUGUACCUGGAGGAUGCUGCAGAGAUGGCACAGGAAGCUGGUGGAUGCGUGUGUGAGGGAUGGAGAUCAUUAAGACCAACAGCACACUGCACAGAAAUCAUCUCUUUAAUCAGAGAAGCUUAAAAACAGGCCAUGGGACUAAGGUGGAGCAGGGCUAUGAGAACCAACAAAUAAAAAAGAAAAAGAAA